GGGUCAGUAGGUUGGUCGUGCCUCCGGUACGUACUGGUCUCACUGAUUCCUCCUUCCUGAAGAACCGUAACGCCAUUAAUUUGGUGUUGCGGGGAAACAGGACUGUUACUUUGAAAAAAUUAGAGUGUUUAAAGCAAGCUAACGCUUGAAUACAUUAGCAUGGAAUAAUGAAAUAGGACGAUCGAUCCUAUUUUGUUGGUUUCUAGGAUUGACGUA
This 216-nucleotide ribosomal RNA is filed under the name Glomeromycotina sp. RNAcentral's name for it is "partial small subunit ribosomal RNA". The stretch from base 75 to 216 matches the Rfam family "Eukaryotic small subunit ribosomal RNA", at positions 721 to 864 of the family's 1831-position model. The record is from RNAcentral. Lineage: Eukaryota; Fungi; Glomeromycota.